Molecule: long non-coding RNA, 311 nt
Filed under: Carica papaya (papaya)
Lineage: Eukaryota; Viridiplantae; Streptophyta; Magnoliopsida; Brassicales; Caricaceae
Description: long non-coding RNA (CPAP_LNC009671)
Source: RNAcentral
ACUGCGUGUAAGCCCCAAGUGCGCAGGGCUUGUCUGUGCUCGAAGUGAAGUGCAGACAGCCUGCCUACGCGCGACAGGAAACACGUGCAGGUCCUGAACCCGCGACACGCACGCGAAGGAGGUGUGGGUGUUGCGCGCACGUCUCGUGCGCGCGUGCGUGAGGAGGGGACGUGGGCGUUGUGCGCACGUCCCGCGACCACUGUGUGCGCAUGCGCACGCACACAGUGCCCAUCACUCGCGUGGGCAAACUGCCCUCUCGCAGGAUUUUUCCCGUGGGCAGUUUUUUCCUAUUCCGUCGUUUUCCAAUUUUU